CGGGUCCGGGAGCCAGCUGAAGAACUCCGGGGUCUGGUGAUUGUUGCGAGAAGCGAACAGAUCCAGGUGAAAGGGACCCCUCCAGGCUGCCAGGGCCCUGAAGACUCCCGUGUUCAGCCUCCAGUCGCUGACGUCUCUCCAGUGGCGAGAGAACCAGUCGGCCGUGAGGUUGAUCUUUCCGGGUAGGUAUUCGGCCUGAAGUGCGAUGUUGCGAGGUAGGCAA
Pelobates cultripes (western spadefoot toad) is the source of this 223-nucleotide non-coding RNA. NCBI's taxonomy places the organism in Eukaryota, Metazoa, Chordata, Amphibia, Anura, Pelobatidae. The record is from the annotation of a GenBank genome assembly.